Oreochromis aureus is the source of this 337-nucleotide long non-coding RNA. RefSeq lists it as uncharacterized. The transcript is spliced from 3 exons. The record is from RefSeq and is a predicted model, not a curated record. Lineage: Eukaryota; Metazoa; Chordata; Actinopteri; Cichliformes; Cichlidae.
CGUGCGUGGGGUUAGGAGGUUCAACAUGUAGGUGCAUGUAAAACAUUUAGCCCAUGAGUUUGACAGCAAGUUGAGGUGAUUUCUGGUGAAAUAAACCAGCUUAAACUCUUCUAGAACUUACCCCUCUGUAUCCUGUCCAGGUCAUGAAGGAGUUUCAGCUGUGCUUCACGUUUGUUUCGACGUUCACGCCAAAUCUCCAGGGAUCCUCUGGCUCCUUCUCGUCCUCCGCCCUGGCUUCCAUUAUUUUGGCAUCCAAGUCUUCAGAAUCAUCUUGUAAGAGCACUAACUCAUCAGCAUCAGGUAUCCGCAUCUUGGUCUUGGCCAUUAUGAGCAUUUG